GGGCAGGUACCAAAGCGGUCAACUGGGCCUGACUGUAAAUCAGGUGGCCUUGCGCCUUCGGGAGUUCGAUUCUCUCCCUGCCCACCA
This 87-nucleotide transfer RNA is filed under the name Candidatus Peregrinibacteria bacterium. Its description in RNAcentral is "tRNA-Tyr". It matches the Rfam family "tRNA". From Rfam's summary of the family: Transfer RNA (tRNA) molecules are approximately 80 nucleotides in length. Their secondary structure includes four short double-helical elements and three loops (D, anti-codon, and T loops). The record is from RNAcentral. Lineage: Bacteria; Candidatus Peregrinibacteriota.